Molecule: ribosomal RNA, 445 nt
Filed under: uncultured bacterium
Lineage: Bacteria
Description: partial 16S ribosomal RNA
Rfam family: Bacterial small subunit ribosomal RNA
Source: RNAcentral
GUGAGGAAUAUUGGACAAUGGGCGCAAGCCUGAUCCAGCCAUGCCGCGUGCAGGAAGACGCAUCUAUGGUGUGUAAACUGCUUUUGUACGGGAAGAAACACUCCCUCGUGAGGGAGCUUGACGGUACCGUAAGAAUAAGGAUCGGCUAACUCCGUGCCAGCAGCCGCGGUAAUACGGAGGAUCCAAGCGUUAUCCGGAAUCAUUGGGUUUAAAGGGUCCGUAGGCGGUUAAAUAAGUCAGUGGUGAAAGCCCAUCGCUCAACGAUGGAACGGCCAUUGAUACUGUUAGACUUGAAUUACAAGGAAGUAACUAGAAUAUGUAGUGUAGCGGUGAAAUGCUUAGAUAUUACAUGGAAUACCAAUUGCGAAGGCAGGUUACUACUUGUGGAUUGACGCUGAUGGACGAAAGCGUGGGGAGCGAACAGGAUUAGAAACCCCAGUAGUCC